This 245-nucleotide ribosomal RNA is filed under the name uncultured Thermomonas sp. RNAcentral's name for it is "partial 16S ribosomal RNA". It matches the Rfam family "Bacterial small subunit ribosomal RNA", at positions 524 to 768 of the family's 1533-position model. The record is from RNAcentral. Lineage: Bacteria; Pseudomonadati; Pseudomonadota; Gammaproteobacteria; Lysobacterales; Lysobacteraceae.
UACGAAGGGUGCAAGCGUUACUCGGAAUUACUGGGCGUAAAGCGUGCGUAGGUGGUCUGCUAAGUCUGAUGUGAAAGCCCUGGGCUCAACCUGGGAAUGGCAUUGGAAACUGGCGGGCUAGAGUGCGGUAGAGGGUAGUGGAAUUCCCGGUGUAGCAGUGAAAUGCGUAGAGAUCGGGAGGAACAUUCGUGGCGAAGGCGGCUACCUGGACCAGCACUGACACUGAGGCACGAAAGCGUGGGGAG